AGCGGGAAAAGCUCAAAUUUAAAAUCUGGCAGACUUUGUCUGUCCGAGUUGUAACCUAGAGAAGCGUAACCUGUGCUGGACCAUGUACAAGUCUCCUGGAAUGGAGCAUCACAGAGGGUGAGGAUCCCGUCUUUGACAUGGACUACCAGUACACUGUGGUUGCACACUCAACGAGUCGAGUUGUUUGGGAAUGCAGCUCUAAAUGGGUGGUAAAUUCCAUCUAAAGCUAAAUAUUGGCGAGAGACCGAUAGUGAACAAGUACCGUGAGGGAAAGAUGAAAAGAACUUUGGAAAGAGAGUUAAACAGUAUGUGAAAUUGUUGAAAGGGAAACGCUUGAAGUCAGCUGCGUUGGCUGGGGAUCAAGCCAGCUUAUUUGCUGGGUGUACUUCCUGGUUGACGGGUCAACAUCAGUUUUGACCAUCAGAGAAAGGCAAAGGGAAUGUGGCACCUUUUAGGUGUGUUAUAGCCCUUUGUUGUAUGUGGUGGUUGGGACUGAGGA
This 499-nucleotide ribosomal RNA is filed under the name Amanita reidii. RNAcentral describes it as "eukaryotic LSU rRNA". It matches the Rfam family "Eukaryotic large subunit ribosomal RNA", at positions 97 to 593 of the family's 3401-position model. The record is from RNAcentral. Lineage: Eukaryota; Fungi; Basidiomycota; Agaricomycetes; Agaricales; Amanitaceae.